This 578-nucleotide ribosomal RNA is filed under the name uncultured bacterium. RNAcentral's name for it is "bacterial SSU rRNA". It matches the Rfam family "Bacterial small subunit ribosomal RNA", at positions 338 to 916 of the family's 1533-position model. The record is from RNAcentral.
CCUACGGGAGGCAGCAGUAAGGAAUAUUGGUCAAUGGACGAAAGUCUGAACCAGCCAUGCCGCGUGAAGGAUGAAGGCCCUCUGGGUUGUAAACUUCUUUUAUCUGGGACGAAAAAAGGGAAUUCUUUCCCACUUGACGGUACCAGAGGAAUAAGCACCGGCUAACUCCGUGCCAGCAGCCGCGGUAAUACGGAGGGUGCAAGCGUUAUCCGGAUUUACUGGGUUUAAAGGGUGCGUAGGUGGGUAGGUAAGUCAGUGGUGAAAUCUCCGAGCUUAACUCGGAAACUGCCAUUGAUACUAUCUAUCUUGAAUAUCCUGGAGGUGAGCGGAAUAUGUCAUGUAGCGGUGAAAUGCUUAGAUAUGACAUAGAACACCAAUUGCGAAGGCAGCUCACUACGGGAUUAUUGACACUGAGGCACGAAAGCGUGGGGAUCAAACAGGAUUAGAUACCCUGGUAGUCCACGCCCUAAACGAUGGAUACUCGACAUACGCGAUACACUGUGUGUGUCUGAGCGAAAGCAUUAAGUAUCCCACCUGGGAAGUACGAUCGCAAGAUUGAAACUCAAAGGAAUUGACGG